This 270-nucleotide ribosomal RNA is filed under the name uncultured bacterium. RNAcentral's name for it is "partial 16S ribosomal RNA". It matches the Rfam family "Bacterial small subunit ribosomal RNA", at positions 1231 to 1500 of the family's 1533-position model. The record is from RNAcentral.
UGGCGUAAACAGAGGGAAGCGAGCCUGCGAGGGGGAGCGAAUCCCAAAAAUAACGUCCCAGUUCGGAUUGUAGUCUGCAACCCGACUACAUGAAGCUGGAAUCGCUAGUAAUCGCGGAUCAGAAUGCCGCGGUGAAUACGUUCCCGGGUCUUGUACACACCGCCCGUCACACCAUGGGGGUCGGAAAUGCCCGAAGUCUGUGACCCAACCUUAGGGAGGGAGCAGCCGAAGGCAGGUCGGAUGACUGGGGUGAAGUCGUAACAAGGUAAC